UGCGGUGGUGAGGCAUGGAAGAGCGCUCCCCGCAUUGCUUCCCUCCCCGGUAGGUUCUCCCUGGAGGAUGUAGCCAGGAAGGUGGCUGGGGCUUGCUGGGGAAGCGGGAAGGCAGCUCGGUUGGCUCUGGCACGGAGGGGGUUGACUGACAGUCUGCAGUGCAGUGGAGUUCGCUGGGCUCCCUAUAUGGCUGUGGAUUAGCUGUGUGCUCAGACAGAUUCGGGGGAAAGGAGCGGCGUGGCAGGCAGUGGAGGCAGCCCAGGCUGAGCCCAGGCAGGAGGCAGUGCAGGCACCUCCGUGGGAGCCAUGGCUGAAGGGGGCGACGGAGGGGAAGACGAAAUACAGUUCCUGCGAACUGAUGAUGAAGUGGUGCUUCAGUGUGUUGCCAACAUUCACAAAGAACAGCGAAAGUUCUGCCUGGCAGCUGAGGGACUUGGAAAUCGCCUGUGCUUUUUAGAGCCGACUUCAGAAGCUAAAUAUGUCCCUCCCGACCUUUGCAUCUGUAACUUUGUGCUGGAACAGUCUCUGUCUGUGAGAGCCCUCCAGGAAAUGCUUGCCAAUACAGGAGACAAUUCCAGUGAAGGGCCUAGAGAUCUCUCCGAAUGGGUAUGUUUUUUCUCCAUUUAUCUGAACUUCAGCUACUGCAUGAAACUCCAUUUGUACUUGUAAUGAAUUAAAUCUCUUGCUUUUUAUUGCGCUCAGUGGUUUCAUUUUAUAUUCUGGUCAUCUCAUGUAUUUUUUCUUGUAGCUGCAAAACCUCAGGAAUAGGCUUGGUCCUCAUUGGACUUCUGUUCUUUACACAAAUUAGUGUUUGAAUAAACUAAUAAAGCAUCACUGACAAUUUACAAUAUCUGGAAGGCUUGGUAUCUAUCGGACAUCCAAAUGGUCCAAAGCAUGCUUACUAAAAAGUAUAUAUUGUUGUUUUAAUGAGAAUUAUAAUCUAAAGCUCCAUAAUAAAGGACUGAUCAUUUGACAUGUAAUCUUUAGCCAAGCACAAUUUUUUGCAACUGAAAAAUAAAUAACAUUAUGGAGCUACAGAUGAGAUCUGUAAUAAAACUGUGUCCUCCUUUCCUAGCAGGAGUGCACCUGUUUAGAUUGCCUACAAGCCAGCCAUACCCUCCUCUACCAUAACUGCAAAAAGGACCUUGAGUUGAGCAUUGCAGACCGUCUGCAGUUCUCCAUCAGCAACAUUCCAUAGCUACUGAGCAUGUUGAAUGUUUUGCUCCCUUAAUUUGUUUUCCAAACCUUGGGGUUUCUUAAGCAUUUGCACAUAUCUCUUUAUUUCUCAGUGGCUGGCCUUGGUUUUUCUUUUAUCAAUAAUCACUAAAAGUUUGUUAUGAGAGGUUAUAUGCAUUACAUUGAAAUAGAAUGGGAAUUUGUAUUUUGUGUUAUUUAAACCUCAACUUUAAUUAAAGCAAAAUGUCUUUUAGCCCAGUACUGUGAAAAUAGCCAUGAAUACGUGAAAUUGCACAGGCUAGGUGAGGUAGUGACAGAAGUAAACAUCUUUGGUGGGGAGAUGCGAAAUCAGACAGUGCUCCCAGGCCUUGCCUUAUUGAAACAAGUAGGAUAAGAUGAUAUAUUGCUAACAUUGUCUCUUCUACACAACUAAUAAAGGUACAGAAGCCCUACCUUCCAGCUUUGAACAUUCUAAGUAGUAGUUGAAUGGGGGCCUUGAGUGUCCUACAUAGAUUUUUGCUUUUCACACCUGACUAAAUGAAGAAUAUAGCUUGUAAAAAUGAGCACAAUUCAGUUUUCUUUGUCCUAAAUGAAAAGAUGACAAUGAUAAUGCUGCUGACAGUGCAUAAGAUGAUGACAACAAAAAUGAUGAUUACUUUUUUACUGUUAUUUUACUGGUGUCGAUUACAUUAAUUUUACAAUGUAGGUAUAUUCUAAGUCUUUAUUAUUAUUAUUAUAAGUCUACUUCCUGAAAUUCAGUUUCAGUUGUCCCAUGGAAAGGCUUACAGAACUCUUAUUCAGAAUUAAUGUUAUGUUAUGUUAAACAAGACCAACACAAAGGAGUCUAUGAUGUAUUUUCAAAAGGAGAAAACUUCAGAAUUAAAAAGUAACUUUUGUAAGAUCCAUAAGAUUGUAUUUAUGAAAGCAGAUUGCAUAUUGUGUAAGAAGAGCUUAUUUUACCAUGUUUUACUGAAGUGAGGUUUGGUCCUUGCUGAUUUGUAUAAAAAAUUUACAGCACUAUUGUAUGGUUCUGCUGAGUUUUGUUCUCAUAAAUCCUACAUUUGGUUGAAAAAAACCCUGCCAUUUACUACCAUAGUGAGCUUCAAGUUUUUGUGCAAUACUAAAAUAUCACAGUGUUGAUUUUAUUUUCCCAAUCCACAAGGCAAUUAGUGAUUAUUUAAAAACUGAAGCCUCUAAGGAUUCAGAUGUCAGUAUGAGUGGGAUUCAGUGUCCUAACAGAAAUAAUAGUGCAGGCUCAGUUGAGUUUGCAACUGAUAAUUUUUUAAAAAAAUCAAUUUGGGGUUUUUUUUGGGGGGGUUCAUUGUUAUCUCGAGCUCUGUAAAACAUACACAUGCCAGGGGGAGAUAAAAAAACAACAACAACAACAACUACAACAAGAACAAUAUAUUUCUUACCUGGUUCUCCUUGCAGCUCACAGCAGGAUGCAACAUGGUUAAAACUGACAGAUAAAACAUAACACAAACACAAAAGGUUUACCAGAGGCGGGCUAGUUACUUAUAGUUUGUUAUUCAAUCUCUUUCCUUAUCAAAUCUAACUAGACUUAAGCAACACAAUGUUUAAACAAUGAUUUAAAUGGAAUAAUGGUUUUUUGGUUUAUUUCUAAUGUGUACUUGUUUCUGAAUAAGAAAGCAACUUCCACUAUUUCUUCAAGCAAUCCCAACCAUCCAGUUAUGCAUUUCACCAUCACUUUGCCAAGCCUCCCUAGUAUUUCUCUGUUUUCUUCAUGCACUAGACCUUGCUCCAAACACGAUGGAUGAAACUCCUUUUUUUAAUUUUUAACCUCUCCUGCAAGCCUGAGCCCAUACUAAUCAUUAGCCCUUCUUACAAAUAUUGGCCUCUCAUUAGUACUUUUUCUUGGUAAUUUGUCCCUUUCCUCUUUUUAUGUACAACUCAUAAAUUUCUUCUAUUGUCAUUCUCAUCUUUCUUAGAUGCCUCCCACUUUGCAUUCUCUUUGGAAUUGCUUGUAAUUUUUACUUCAGUAUCUCACUUUUAAGGAACUCCUUGUCUUUCAGCAUUUUGGAACAUCUGCAUUUCCUUGCGUUUAUUAAAAUUUCCUUUCUUAAAUUUCAUAGUGUAUGUUCAGUGAAUACUCAGUUUUGCCUAUGCUUUUCCUGCAUGAUGGGUUUGCACUGAAUGGCUCAUGUAGUCUCUUCCAACUCUAUUGUUCUAUGAUUUUAUAAUGAAUCUUGAGAAAUUAUGAUCACUUCCACUUAUAAUACCCACUUUUAGUUCAUUGCCAUCAAGUUAACUUUCAGCAACACUGUGAAUGAGAGACCUCCAAAUCAAUUUUUUAUCAAAAGCCAAUGGAGUUGUUCAACAAAGGAGUUGUGCGAUCCCUGUAUUCAAUGCCAGUGAGCAAUUUGCCUGCAAUGCUUUGUACCAGCUGUUCAAAAAUAGCUCCAUGGAGAACAAUGGAGAUAAAACUAUAGCAUGUGUCACUGUGAUCAGACCUGAUACCUCAAGGAAUGGGCACAGCUGCACACAAACCUUAAGUGUGAAAAUGUAUUCCUGACCACUGCCAAAUCCUGAGCUUCCUAGCUCAUGGUUAAAUCCAGGUGUACACCCAAAUCUCCAUUUUCAUUGUGUGUAAAUGCAAGCUGCAUAGGCUGAAUUACUUAUUCCCUGAUCUAUCUUUAAUCACAAGGAGUGCCUCCAUCUGUACCUGGUCAAUAUUCUUGUUGCUUUUUUCACUUUUUGAAAAAUGAAACAAUCAGCAAGCCAAACAAUAAUUUGUUGGAUGUUGCAGUUUUAAUGAAUGUGACUUUAGGUAGUUGAAGUUGCCAGUUACUGUUACAUUUUUUCCUUUUGAAAAUGCUUGGUUAGAUGAUACAGGAAAGCAUCAUGAAAUUCUUCAGUCUGCCUUGGAGGUCUGUAGUAGUCCCUUCCCCACAUACAGCUAUGGCACUGCUUGUUUUUCUUUUCAAUAAUUUUACCGAAAUGCUCCGCAACUGCCUUGUAUGCCCCAUGGCAUAGAUCUUGCUAGUGUACAUAUGCUUUAUAUAUAAUACUACUAUGUCUUAUUUCCAGUUUGUUUGGUUCUUUUGGAAUCUAUUGUACUCACUCCCCAGUUACUACAUUCCAGGGAUGAGUCUCAUCUCUAUAGUCUCCUUAAUACCCAUUGAAGUGUAUUCACUCUUUGUUUCCCAUUCAUGUGCAUUAACAGAGCAGACUAACUAUUCAUAGGUUGUCAUUCUAUAUGAAAAAGUCCCUGUUGGGAAAUAAAAGUUAUGACGGGUUUUUUUUGCCUCUAUGCUAUAGCAAAAAAGACUGGAGUCUUUGUAUCUUUAAACUGUUUAGCAUAAAAAGGAGCCAUAUGCUCUAGUGCAAUUUUCACAGUAAAGUGAAAUAAAUGUUAAAUUAAUUUAAGUUUGCAAAAACUUUUGUAAUCUCACUCAUUAGUGAGAUGGCUCUUGAAGUAUUUUAUUCUUUCUUGCAAUAGUGUAAGUAGCAAAGAUGUAUAUUUCUAGACCUCCAUUACUGUCUCUUACUGAGAAACUUGGAAGUGAAUGAGGAGUCAAAAUGCAUGACCAUGUGUCUACUAUUCGCCUGUGAAGCUAUGGACUCUAAGGACUGAUUUCAGCAAGAAGUGAAAAGGACUAGCCAAGUAGAACAGCCACAAUUUUGCACUAUUAUGCUUUGAAAAUCUUUCGUUUAAAGACAAUGGGAGAGUUUGUUUGUGCAUACAGUGACACUUCAGAAUGCUAACUUUUUUGCAUUAGAAGGAAAAUGAGUCAAACUCAUACCAUAGUUAUAUUGCACCAGCAGCAGAGUAUAGUUGAGAAGACUAUGGGAGGAAUCCAGCUAGGAAGAGGCAUGAGUUCAGCACGGGCUAAUGUCCCAGAUCCUUCCAUACCGCAAUGCUAGAUUUAUUGCACAUGGCCAUAGUUGUUACAUACUGGUGGAAGGAUCCACUGCAUAUGCUCAUGGCUACGUUCUUUAUUACUGCUACAUAAAUUACAUGACUGAUUCUUGGCACUGAAAACAAACUUGGACAUUCGGCCUUACUAGCUACAUUUAGACAGCAAGAUAAGGUGUGUUUUGUUGUUGACAAGCAAAUUUCAGCAUACAUAUUUUCAUAACUAAAAAGUAGACUAACAUUUUGCUUCCUUUUUUAUUUAACUGCAGUUUAGUACAUCUGAACUCUGAAGUGUUCUGGAACUUAAGUGUGGUUUAUUGAAACAAAGUUGCCUAGCACAUAUUUGGAAAUGCGGCAGUUUGCUUCCCUCUCCUCCCAAAGAAUACAAAUCAGCCCCAAAUGCUGCAAAACGGUGACCAGAAGUGAUAUUACUUCAAGUGUGCUAAAACAAGCUGUCCUAGCCCACUGGGCAGGAGUGGGAGGGAACAUGAUCUGCCUCCAUGCAGGUGUACAACUCUGCCAUUACAUUUAUAACUAUUGCUCCUUUAUGUUUUUAACAAAAUAUAAGUGUAUCUAAAUUGCCUUGCAUCAAAAGUCAUGUGUGAUUGGUGAUUGUUCCACUCAUUCACAAAAAUCAGGGUCAUUAACAAAAUCUAUUCUUACAAAAUGUAUUGUUAAACAGAUAUUUCUGCUUCCUUUCCUAAAUGCCAGGUCAAACAAUGGUCUGCAUGUGACCUUCCUUCUUUCUAUAUAGAUUUUGUGCUGAACAGCGGGGGAUAUAGCUGAGAUGCAGGUAUAAAAAGAGGGCAUAAGGCUUUCUAAUUGAGCCAUGUCAUGGUUCUGAGUCAUUGGAUAAAGAGAAAGUGUGGAAAGAAUAUGAGUUGUGCUGAAGGGCAAAGCAACAACAAGACGAAUAGUCUUUCUGCUGAAAAUGGAACCAGUUUCUGCCAUUUUUUCAGCUAUUCUGUGGUAGAUUUCUCCGUGUGCCAGAAUUAAUGUCACUUUAGGUAGGAAGGGUUGCAUUGUGGAAAGGGCAUGGAAGAAAAUGAUACAACAUUCUGUCCUAGAACACUGCUUUUUGGCUCUUCAAAACAUUCCCAUGUGACUAAUUAACAAAAUAAAUACUGUAGGAGGAUCUCUGAAUUUCUUGUACAGAGUGUAUCCAGCUAACAAUUUUUCACUGAUGGAGACCUGACUGAUGAAAAAACACAUCAGCUCCCUAUUUAAAGUUUUCUGCUUUCCUCAUCUUAUAGCAGACUUAAUGCCAUGCACUGAAGUGAGAUAUAUCCUGGGGAGAGCAGUAUACAAUUGCUGUUAGGUUGGCAACCCAGGUUAGUAUGAUUUACCUUGCUACCUGCCGUGUAAAUGCACUCAGAGGAACAAAACAUAAAAUCUCCCCAUGGUGGAAUGCAAGAUGUAGCUUUUAGCUCACUAAGUGGCUUUACAAGAACUACAGAAUAGCACAAAUCUAGCUUCUACAUUUAGAUAGAUUAAUAAGUACUUGUAAGGGGUGUAAUCACUGUGUGGGGUGUUGGUUUAUUUUUCACUUGGUCAUCAAAUGCCUGUGGUUGACAUCUCAAUGAAUUGUGGCAAUUUCUUUGUCCUUGAAUAUCUAGUUCGAUUUAGAAUCUCAACAAGGAAAUGUAAUGACAUAAAAGUGUUGUUAAUGUUUGUGGAGAUAAUAUCAACUUCCUGACUUUCAUUUAGCCUUAGCUGUGACUUCUUAUUGAUCCCUUUUGUUAAAAGGCCAUCAGCUAGAGUUCUCUGCCCCUAUGAUUACUACGUAUCUUCUGGGAGUUUUCUGUUUUCAUUAUAUUUUGCCUAGAACCAAGUUUCCAAAUCAAAACAUGCAAUGGAAGAAGGGAAAUGGAGAUAGAGGGAAAGGUUUGUUUGGUACAUAUUAUCAAACCAUAGUUUGACAAUACAAUUACAAAUCUCAUAAACCUUUAUAUUUUUCUUUUUUAUUAAGUUUUUCUGGUUGUUAUUGUGUGUCAUGAAAUCAUUUCUGAAUUACGGUGACCCUAAAGCAAACCUACUGACGAUUUUUUUGUCAUGUUUUGUCCAGAGAGGCUUUAGCUUUGCCCUUUUCUAAGAAAGAGAAAUGUGACAUGCCAAAGUCAGCCAGUAUGUUUCCAUGGUUGAGUGGGGAUUCGAAUCCUGAUCUCCAUCACUCAAAACCAUGCUGUCUAUCAGUGCUUCUGGGCAUACUCAUUUUUUAAAAAGUUUUUGUCUCUAUAAACUAGCAUUGUAGCAUUAAAGAAAAUGGCUUUUAUAAAGAGGUGUAAGCUCACUUAAAGUAUCAGCUUGGGGUUUUUUUUGUGAAUUGAGCAUGUAAUUUGAACAUUUGUGUGGACAUCUGUGCAUGAAGCUGUUUGUAUGCCAGUGGGUUGUGUCCUUAGAUGAAUACUUAAAGUCUUUUCAAGGAUAGAUUGAGGGAAAAACUUGUUUGUGACUAUAUGUCUAAUGAGUAAUGAGCUCAUAAGAUGAAAUAUGUGACUCCUCUUAAUGUAUUGGCAAGAUUCCAAAGAUUUUUUUAUUAGAUAAUACUAUAGUCCAGGAUAUAGAAUGAAAAUAAGGUGUGAAAUAAUAUUUUUUUGAUAAAAAAUAUACAUUUGUCAGUAAAAAAAACACAUAAAGCAGUAAAAGGGGUAUGCAGAAUUCUGUUUAGCAAUUGGGGAAAAUUCAGCGAUCCAGCAGAUAGAUUGAACAGAACCCAGCUGAAGCUUUAAAUAAUAAUGCAGGAAAGAAAGAAAGGCAAGAAAGGCUUCCCUAGUCCUUUCCUCCAGUGAUAGCCCCAUUGGGAACUCUCUUUCUCAGCAGCACUUUGCGUGUUGCGGGCAUUGAAGGAGCCUCUGCGCUCUCUCCCACGGCAUGACUGUGUCCAUUCUCCUCCCCUCUUUUGGCUUAAGCUGGUUGGGACUUCAAUUCCCAGAACCCCCUCCUGUUUUUUUUUUAAUUAUAUGGUAAAAACUAAAAUUUUCCCCAAAAUUUGGUGAAACAUUCUGAAACCUGGCAGGCUUGCAGUCAUAAAUGUGGCCUACAAGUGAGACAAGUUUCAUCCUGAUAGUCCUAAAAUUAAUGAAGAAACAAACCUCUAAAAUUUCCCCAUUGGUGUCAAUGGACCUAAUUUUGGAUAUUUCCCAGAAAACGAAAUAGGGGAUGGAGAAGACAGAAACGGACCUGAAAACAGUAUGGUUUUUGGCCAUUUUGCGCAUCCCUAGUAAUAACAACUUUCAGUAUUUUGUUGACCAUAUACUUCCAUCAGUGCUAGUUAGUUAAGGUCAACAGUGUAGUUUUGUUAGGUUUUUUUAAAUGAUCUUUUAGGAAGUGAACUCAUAUCUCCAUAUAGGUAGCAAUAACACUGUUAAAAUAAAAUUAUCCUGAUUAAAAGACAUUUAAUGAAUCUGAAUCCCAUGAGCAGCAUGUUCAUCAUUUAUAAUGCUUGUUCAGAAGCCCAUUCUUAUAAUGUAUGUUUUGUUUUGUUUUUUAAUGCUUCUGGAAAGUUUAUAAGAAAGGCUGCUCAAGGUGGUGGUCAUAGGACACUACUGUAUGGCCAUGCUAUCCUGCUUCAUCAUUCAUUCAGUGGAAUGUAUUUGACUUGUUUGACUACAUCAAGAUCUCAGACGGAUAAACUUGCAUUUGAUGUUGGACUACAAGAGAAUGCAGCAGGUGAAGCAUGCUGGUGGACUAUACAUCCUGCUUCUAAACAAAGGUCUGAAGGAGAAAAAGUGCGGAUUGGAGAUGAUCUUAUCCUGGUUAGUGUGUCUUCUGAAAGAUACCUGCAUCUGUCUGUAGCAUAUGGAAACAUACAAGUGGAUGCCUCCUUUAUGCAAACUUUGUGGAACGUGCAUCCCACUUGUUCAGGAAGUAGCAUUGAAGAAGGAUACCUACUCGGAGGGCAUGUAUUACGUUUAUUUCAUGGCCACGAUGAGUGUUUGACAAUCCCAUCAACAGAACAGAAUGAUUCACCACAUAAAAGGCUAUUUUAUGAAUCAGGAGGAGCUGGUGUCCGGGCAAGGUCUCUGUGGAGAGUAGAACCACUUAGAAUAAGCUGGAGUGGAAGUAACAUACGUUGGGCACAGCCCUUUCGUCUUCGACACAUUACAACAGGACAGUUUUUGGCCUUGACUGAAGACCUGGGUUUAGUCUUAUUAGACAGAGAAAAGGCUGACACAAAAACAACAUCAUUUUGUUUUAGAGCAUCAAAGGAAAAACUGGAGUCCAUUCACAAGCGCGAUAUUGAGGGCAUGGGAGUUCCUGAAAUAAAGUAUGGUGAUUCUGUUUGUUUCGUGCAGCAUGUAGCCAGUAGUUUGUGGCUGACGUACAAAGCUCAGGAUGCUAAAACAACACGUUUAGGACCAGUGAAAAGAAAGGUUAUAUUACAUCAAGAAGGCCACAUGGAUGAUGGUCUCACAUUGCAAAGGUGUCAACAUGAGGAGUCCCAGGCUGCUAGAAUAAUUCUAAAUACAACAAGAUUAUUUAGUCAAUUUAUAAGUGGAAACAAUAGAACUUCAUCUCCCAUCACCUUACCCAUUGGAGAAGUACUUCAGACUCUGCAAGAUCUGAUUACAUAUUUUCUUCCUCCAGAGGAGGAGCUAGAACACGAGGAUAAACAAAAUAAACUUCGUUCACUCAAGAACAGACAAAAUCUAUUUAAAGAAGAGGGGAUGUUGGCACUGGUUUUGAACUGCAUUGAUAGAUUAAAUGUCUAUUAUAGCACCGCUCACUUUACUGGAGUUGGUAGAGAAGAAAAUAGUACAGCAUGGAAAGAAAUUCUGAAUCUUCUUUACAAGCUAUUGGCUGCUCUCAUCCGUGGUAAUAGAAACAAUUGUGCUCAAUUUUCCAAUAAUCUUGAUUGGCUGAUUAGUAAAUUGGACCGACUAGAAUCUUCUUCAGGUAUUUUGGAAGUGUUACAUUGCAUCUUAAUUGAAAGUCCAGAAGCUUUAAAUUUGAUAGAAGAAGGACAUAUCAAAUCUAUAAUCUCAUUGCUGGAUAAACAUGGGCGCAAUCAUAAGGUCCUUGAUGUACUGUGCUCCCUCUGUCUCUGUAAUGGAGUAGCAGUGCGUGCUAAUCAGAACUUAAUCUGUGACAAUCUUCUUCCACGAAGAGAUUUACUCUUGCAAACACGACUGGUGAAUGAUGUGACAAGUAUGAGACCAAAUAUAUUCCUGGGAAUUGCUGAAGGCUCAGCACAGUAUAAGAAAUGGUAUUUUGAACUAAUUAUUGAUCAAGUGGACCCCUUUUUAACAGCAGAGCCUACACAUCUACGGGUUGGCUGGGCCUCAACAUCGGGCUAUGCUCCUUAUCCUGGAGGUGGAGAAGGUUGGGGAGGCAAUGGAGUCGGUGAUGACCUAUACUCAUAUGGUUUUGAUGGACUUCAUCUAUGGUCUGGUCGAAUACCCAGAGCUGUUGCAUCUGUGAAUCAACAUUUGAUAGCUUCGGAAGAUGUAGUCAGCUGUUGCUUGGAUUUAGGUGCACCGAGCAUUUCGUUCCGUAUUAAUGGACAGCCUGUGCAAGGAAUGUUUGAGAAUUUUAACAUUGAUGGACUUUUUUUCCCAGUAGUAAGCUUUUCUGCAGGUGUCAAAGUGCGUUUCUUAAUGGGUGGACGUCAUGGAGAGUUCAAGUUUCUACCUCCUACUGGCUAUGUGCCUUGCUAUGAAGCUUUGCUUCCAAAAGAGAAGAUGAAAUUGGAGCCAGUGAAAGAAUAUAAGAGAGAUUCCAAUGGAAUUAGAGAUUUGCUUGGCACAACACAAUUUGUCUCCCAAGCUAAUUUUAUCCCUUGUCCAAUUAGCACCAGCCAGAUUGUAUUGCCUCUUCAUCUUGAGAAGAUUAGAGAUAAGCUUGCUGAAAAUAUUCAUGAACUUUGGGGAAUGAAUAAAAUAGAACUUGGCUGGACUUAUGGCAAGAUACGAGAUGAUAACAAAAGGCAGCACCCUUGUCUGGUGGAAUUUUCAAAAUUACCUGAAACAGAGAAGAAUUAUAACUUGCAAAUGUCAACAGAAACUCUGAAAACUCUUUUGGCUCUUGGAUGCCAUAUUGUACAUACAAAUCCAGGAGCAGAGGAAGACCUUAAAAAAAUAAAACUUCCAAAAAAUUAUAUGAUGUCAAAUGGCUAUAAGCCAGCCCCUCUAGACCUCUCUGAAGUAAAAUUGUUGCCUCCCCAAGAAGCAUUGGUUGAUAAACUUGCAGAGAAUGCACAUAACGUCUGGGCAAAAGACAGAAUAAAACAAGGAUGGACAUAUGGCAUUCAACAGGAUCUCAAAAACAAAAGAAAUCCACGAUUGGUGCCAUAUACAUUAUUAGAUGAACGUACUAAGAAGUCAAACAGAGAUAGCCUACGUGAAGCUGUUCGCACCUUUGCUGGUUAUGGAUAUAACAUUGAACCACCAGAUCAAGAAUUAGCUGACCAAACUGUGGAAAAAAUAAGCAUAGAUAAGAUACGUUUCUUCAGAGUGGAGAAGUCUUACGCAGUGAAGACUGGAAAAUGGUAUUUUGAAUUUGAAGCGGUUACAGGAGGAGACAUGCGUGUUGGAUGGGCAAGGCCAGGUUGUCGGCCUGACCUUGAACUAGGAGCUGAUGACCAAGCAUUUGUGUUUGAAGGCAGCAAAGGUCAGCGUUGGCACGAAGGGAGUAGCUUCUUUGGACGAAAUUGGCAACCAGGAGAUGUAGUGGGAUGCAUGAUCAAUCUAGAUGACAAAUCAAUAAUAUUUACACUGAAUGGAGAAUUGCUUAUUACCAACAAAGGUUCAGAACUUGCUUUUGCAGACUUUGAGAUAAAUAAUGGUUUGGUGCCUAUAUGCUCACUGGGUCUGUCUCAGAUUGGCCGUAUGAAUUUUGGAAGGGACGCCAGCACCUUCAAAUAUUAUACCAUGUGUGGUCUUCAAGAAGGCUUUGAACCUUUUGCUGUUAACAUGAACAGAGAUGUUGCUAUGUGGUUUAGCAAACGUUUGCCAACGUUUGUCAAUGUGCCUAAAAACCACUCUCAUAUUGCGGUGACAAGAAUAGAUGGGAACAUUGACAGCCCACCACGCUUAAAAGUAACCCAUAAAACAUUUGGAACACAGAAUAGCAAUGCAGAUAUGAUAUACUGUCGCCUGAGCAUGCCAAUUGAAUUUCACUCAUCUUUUAACUACAUCACUAGUUUGGAACUUGUUGAUGGUUUCCAAAAAAGAAAACAAAUUCAGGAGUUUCCUUUUCAUGCCAUAACGUAUUAUUAUUCAGUGCGAAUCUUUGCUGGACAAGACCCAUCUUCAGUUUGGAUUGGUUGGGUGACUCCUGACUACCACUUUUACAGUGAACAUUUUAACCUAAAUAAGAAUUGCACAGUAACAGUUACUUUGGGAGAUGAAAGAGGCAGAGUUCAUGAAAGUGUAAAACGCAACAAUUGCUACUUGGUCUGGGGAGGAGAAGCUGCUGUUAACUCACAAAGAUCAGGUCGUGGUAAUGUUGAUUUAGAAAUUGGAUGCCUUGUUGAAUUGGCUUCUGGAAUGCUGUCAUUUACAGCCAAUGGAAAAGAGCUGGGAACUUUCUACCAGGUUGAACCAAACACAAAACUAUUUCCAGCAGUUUUUUUACAGCCUACAAGCACAAACCUGUUUCAGUUUGAACUGGGUAAAUUAAAGAACACAAUGCCUUUAUCAGCAGCAAUAUUUAAAAGUGAAGAGCGAAACCCUAUUCCCCAGUGCCCUCCACGACUGGAUGUUCAAACAAUCACACCUGUUGUGUGGAGCAGAAUGCCAAACUAUUUCUUAAAAGUAGACGCUGACCGAGUCAGUGACCGACAUGGGUGGUUGGUGCAGUGCCUGGAACCUUUGCAGAUGAUGGCCCUUCAUAUUCCAGAAGAAAGCAGGUGUAUUGAUAUUUUGGAGCUAUGCGAACAAGAAGAUCUGAUGAGGUUCCAUUUCCAUACGUUAAAACUGUAUAGUUCAGUUUGUGCACUGGGAAACAACAGAGUAGCUUAUGCACUUUGCAGCCAUGUGGAUAUUUCCCAGUUAUUUUAUACAAUAGAUAAUCAAUAUUUACCUGGGUUAUUGCGUUCUGGAUUUUAUGACUUGCUGAUCAGCAUUCAUUUAGAAUACUCCAAAGAGGCUAAGCUGAUGAUGAACAAUGAAUUUAUAAUUCCAAUUACAGAUGAAACUAGAAAAAUCAAAUUAUUUCCAGAUGAAUCAAAGAGACAUGGUUUGCCAGGAGUUGGGCUUAGCACCUGCCUGAAACCAGAUUUUAAGUUUUCUACCCCUUGCUUCAUUUUGUCUCAAGAGGAUCAUCAGAAGCCCAGUCCAGAAAUACCACUUGAUAUGCUUAAAUCCAGGGCUAUAAGCAUGCUUACAGAAGCAGUUUAUUGUAGUGGAGCUCACAUACGAGAUCCUGUUGGAGGGAAAGUUGAAUUCCAGUUUGUUCCUGUACUUAAACUUAUAGGAACUUUGCUCAUAAUGGGAGUCUUUGAUGAUCAUGAUGUGAAACAGAUUUUACUUCUCAUCGAUCCAUAUGUUUUUGGUGAACCAAAAGAAGAAACACUAGAGAAAACAGAGAAGGAGGAUGUUACACAAAUUGAAGAAAAAGCAGUAGAGGCGGGAGAAAAGGCAAUCAAGGAAACAAAAACGCCAAUUAAAGGCUUGCUGCAAACAAGAUUGACUGAAUCUGUUAAACUCCAGAUGUGUGAGCUGCUAAAUUAUUUCUGCGACUGUGAGCUGAAACACAGAGUGGAAGCCAUUGUAUCUUUCGCAGACACAUAUGUCUCAAAGUUGCAGUAUAAUCAGAAAUACAGAUAUAAUGAACUUAUGCAAGCUUUGAAUAUGUCUGCUGCUUUGACUGCCAGGAAGACCAAGGAAUUUCGCUCCCCUCCUCAAGAGCAGAUUAAUAUGUUACUAAAUUUUCAACUGGGGGAAGAUUGUCCUUGUCCAGAUGAGAUUCGGGAAGAGCUUUAUGAGUUUCAUGAUGAUCUCCUGAUGCAUUGUGGUAUUCCUUUAGAGGAAGAAGAGGUGGAAGAUAAAGAUAUAUCAUGGGCUGGGAAACUACGUUCAUUGAUAUAUAAAAUAAAAGGUGCACCAAAAACUGAAGUGAGAGAAACUACAGAAGAAGAAGAAAAAUAUCCCACUACAUUGAAGAAGUUGAUAUCUCGGACGAUGGUUUCCUGGGCUCAGGAAGACCAGAUCCAAGACCCAGAAUUAGUUCGUAUUAUGUUUAAUCUCCUUCGACGACAAUAUGACAGCAUUGGUGAACUGCUGCUGGCUCUGAGGAAGUCCUAUACUAUCAGUGCUGCCUCUGUGCAGGAUACAAUAAACUUACUAGCAGCACUGGGUCAAAUUCGCUCUCUUCUUAGUGUCAGAAUGGGAAAAGAAGAAGAAUUGCUUAUGAUUAAUGGUCUUGGAGAUAUAAUGAACAACAAAGUAUUUUACCAGCAUCCUAACUUAAUGAGGGUCCUUGGUAUGCAUGAGACAGUUAUGGAAGUAAUGGUAAAUGUGCUUGGAGGAGACAAAUCUCAGAUUGCUUUUCCAAAAAUGGUAGCAAGUUGUUGUCGGUUUCUGUGCUAUUUCUGUCGAAUCAGUCGCCAGAAUCAAAAAGCCAUGUUUGAACACCUCAGCUACUUACUUGAAAAUAGCAGUGUGGGACUUGCUUCUCCUUCCAUGAGGGGUUCUACUCCACUAGAUGUAGCAGCUGCUUCUGUAAUGGAUAAUAAUGAGCUUGCACUUGCAUUGGAGGAGCCAGACUUAGAAAAGGUUGUAACCUACUUGGCAGGUUGUGGACUUCAGAGUUGCCCAAUGUUGCUAGCUGCAGGAUACCCUGAUACAGGCUGGAAUCCAAUAGAGGGUGAACGAUAUCUAUCCUUUUUAAGGUUUGCAGUUUUUGUUAAUGGUGAAAGUGUUGAGGAAAAUGCCAGUGUUGUUGUCAAGCUUCUUAUUCGACGCCCAGAAUGUUUUGGUCCUGCUCUUAGAGGAGAAGGAGGAAAUGGUUUGUUGGCUGCUAUGCAAGGAGCAAUUAAGAUCUCUGAGAACCCAGCUCUUGAUCUCCCCUCUCAAGGAUACAAGAGAGAUUUCAGUCUUGAUGAAGAUGAAGAAGAGGAAGGAGUAGUGCACAUGGGCAAUGCAAUUAUGUCCUUUUACUCUGCUCUUAUAGAUUUACUUGGACGUUGUGCACCAGAAAUGCAUCUUAUCCAAACUGGAAAAGGAGAAGCUAUUCGAAUCCGGUCCAUCUUGCGUUCCCUGGUACCAACCGAAGAUUUGGUUGGAAUAAUAAGCAUACCAUUAAAAUUACCAACAGUCAACAAGGAUGGAACUGUUAGUGAGCCAGACAUGUCUGCAGGUUUCUGCCCUGACCAUAAGGCACCCAUGGUCCUCUUUCUAGAUCGUGUCUAUGGUAUAAAGGAUCAAAGUUUUCUUCUCCAUCUCCUUGAAGUUGGAUUUUUACCAGAUUUAAGAGCUUGUGCAUCAUUAGAUACAGUUUCUUUGAGUACUACAGAGACAGCUCUUGCUCUAAAUAGAUAUAUUUGCACAGCUGUGUUUCCAUUACUCACACGAUGUGCUUCUCUCUUUUCGGGAACUGAGCAUUAUGUCUCACUGAUUGAUUCCACACUUCAUACAAUAUAUCGCCUAUCCAAAGGACGCUCUCUAACAAAAGCACAAAGGGACACUAUUGAAGAAUGCUUGCUUGCUAUCUGUCACUAUUUACGUCCUUCCAUGCUACAGCAGCUUUUGCGACGACUAGUCUUUGAUGUACCUUUACUUAAUGAAUAUUGUAAAAUGCCUCUUAAGCUUUUAACAAAUCACUAUGAGCAAUGCUGGAAAUAUUACUGUUUGCCUUCAGGAUGGGGAAAUUAUGGAAUUGCAGCUGAAGAAGAGCUACAUUUAACUGAAAAACUUUUCUGGGGAAUAUUUGAUUCUCUUUCUUCUAAGUUCCUAUCUCUCCUGCAGAAGUAUGAUCCAGAUCUCUUCCGUAUGGCCUUGCCUUGUUUAAGUGCAAUAGCUGGGGCUUUGCCACCAGAUUAUUUAGACAUCCAAAUUGCCUCAAUUUUAGAAAAGCAAACUUCAGUGGAUGCUGAAGGAAACUUUGAUCCCAAACCUGUUAACACAGUGAAUUUUAUACUUCCUGAGAAGUUGGAAUAUAUUGUCAACAAGUAUGCUGAACAUUCACAUGAUAAAUGGGCCUGUGACAAGAGUAAUAGUGGAUGGAAGUAUGCUGCUUCAGUUGAUGAAAAUAUGAAGAUGCAUCCUUUAAUAAGACCCUUUAAAACAUUGACUGACAAGGAAAAGGAAAUCUACCGAUGGCCUGCCAGAGAAUCACUUAAAACCAUGUUAGCAAUGGGAUGGAGUCUAGAAAGGACCAAAGAAGGCGAAUCGACAGUCCAGCAGCGUGAAAAUGAGAAGCUCCGCAGUGUAUCACAGUCCAGCCAAGGAAAUGGAUACAACCCAGCACCACUUGAUCUUUCAAACGUUGUACUCUCUAGAGAACUUCAGGGAAUGGUGGAAAUAGUGGCAGAAAACUAUCAUAACAUUUGGGCUAAAAAGAAGAAAAUUGAAUUAGAAAGUAAAGGUGGUGGUAGUCAUCCUUUAUUGGUCCCAUAUGACACUUUAACAGCCAAAGAAAAGGCUCGAGAUAGGGAGAAAGCACAAGAACUUUUCAGAUUUCUUCUAGUGAAUGGUGUUGCUAUAACAAGGGGCUUAAAUGACAUGGCAUUGGAUGCUUCAUCCAUGGAGAAGCGAUUUGCUUAUAAAUUUCUGAAGAAGAUUCUCAAAUAUGUUGAUUCUGCUCAAGACUUCAUUGCACAUUUAGAAGCCAUUGUCACCAGUGGAAAAACAGAAAAAUCCCCACAUGACCAAGAAAUCAAAUUUUUUGCCAAAGUUCUGCUGCCAUUAGUUGAUCAGUAUUUUACCAAUCAUUGCCUGUACUUUCUCUCUUCCCCCACCAAACCUCUCAGCAGUAGUGGGUAUGCUUCAAAUAAAGAAAAGGAAAUGGUAGCAAGCCUUUUCUGCAAACUUGCUGCUCUUGUUAGACAUAGAAUUUCACUUUUUGGUAAUGAUGCUACUACAAUGGUGAGCUGCCUACAUAUUUUGGCUCAGUCAUUAGAUACAAGAACCGUCAUGAAAUCUGGCUCAGAACUGGUUAAAGCUGGGUUAUGUGCCUUCUUUGAAAAUGCAGCUGAAGAUCUUGAGAAGACAUCAGAAAAUCUUAAACUUGGAAAAUUUACCCAUUCCCGAACACAAAUUAAAGGAGUUUCUCAGAAUAUCAACUACACAACAGUCGCACUCUUGCCUAUUUUGACAUCUAUUUUUGAACAUGUUGCACAGCAUCAUUUUGGCACUGAUUUACUUUUAGGUGAUGUCCAAGUUUCAUGUUACAGAAUUCUUUGUAGCCUAUAUUCCCUUGGAACUGGGAAGAACAUUUAUGUCGAGAGGCAAAGGCCAGCACUUGGUGAGUGCUUGGCUUCUCUUGCAGCAGCAAUUCCAGUGGCCUUUCUUGAACCUUCACUCAACCUUUACAAUCCCCUCUCUGUCUUCAACACAAAAACUACCAGAGAGAGAGCUAUUUUAGGCAUACCUGAAACUGUAGAAGAAAUGUGUCCAGAAAUUCCUAACUUGGAUGACUUAAUGAAAGAAAUAAACAACUUGGCAGAAUCAGGAGCCAGAUAUACCGAAAUGCCUCAUGUGAUUGAAGUGACCUUGCCCAUGCUGUGCAAUUACCUAUCAUACUGGUGGGAAAGGGGACCCGAAAACAUCUGUGAAAGUGCUGGGCCCUGCUGCACAAUGGUCACCUCUGAACAUCUUAGCAUAAUACUGGGAAACAUUUUGAAAAUAAUCAACAACAACCUUGGGAUAGAUGAAGCAACCUGGAUGAAAAGAAUUGCAGUGUAUGCUCAGCCAAUCAUUAGUAAAGCCAGACCAGAUUUGUUGAAAAGUCAUUUCAUUCCAACCCUGGAAAAACUAAAGAAGAAGGCCAUAAAGAUUGUGAUGGAAGAAGAACAGUUGAAAGCAGACAGUAAAACUGAUACUCAAGAAGCAGAACUUCUCAUUCUGGAUGAAUUCGCAGUUCUUUGCCGAGACCUUUAUGCUUUUUAUCCUAUGUUGAUCCGAUAUGUAGACAACAACAGAUCAAACUGGCUUAAAAAGCCAGAUGCAGAUUCUGAUGAACUUUUCCGAAUGGUAGCUGAAGUUUUUAUCCUCUGGUGUAAAUCACAUAAUUUCAAGAGAGAAGAACAAAAUUUUGUGAUUCAGAAUGAAAUCAACAAUUUGGCAUUUUUGACAGGAGAUAACAAAAGUAAGAUGUCAAAGCAGAUUGUUCGAAGGGGAAUGGCCAUUCAAGUAAAGUCUGGUGGUCAUGAUCAAGAACGAAAGAAAUCAAAACGCAGAGGAGAUUUGUACUCAAUACAGACUUCUCUAAUUGUAGCUGCACUUAAAAAAAUGCUUCCCAUCGGAUUGAAUAUGUGUACUCCUGGAGAUCAAGAAUUAAUUUCUCUUGCUAAGUCCAGAUAUAGCUAUAAAGACACAGAAGAAGAGAUCAAAGAACAUUUACGCAAUAAUUUGCAUUUACAGGAGAAGUCAGAUGACCCAGCUGUGAAAUGGCAGUUGAAUCUAUACAAAGACAUCUUGAAAACUGAUGAACCUGCUGAUUCUGAGAAAACUGUGGAACGUGUGCAGAGGAUCUCAGCUGCUGUGUAUCAUCUGGAACAGGUUGAGCAACCAUUAAGAUCAAAGAAAGCAGUUUGGCACAAACUCUUGUCAAAGCAACGUAAAAGAGCUGUUGUUGCUUGUUUCAGGAUGGCACCAUUGUAUAAUCUACCAAGACACAAAAUUGACAAUUUCUUCCUGAGCACCUUUCAACCUGUUUGGCUGGAAACUGUACAUGAAAAAACCCAAUAUAACAGGCUCAUACUCACAUUAACGACUCUCCCACAAAAAAGUGAAGAGGAUGAGGAAGAGAUUGAAAAGCAUCCUGACCCUCUUCAUCAGAUUAUUCUUCAUUUCAGUCGGAAUGCUCUCACUGAGAGAAGCAAAUUGGAAAAUGACCCUUUGUAUACUGCAUAUUCAGCAAUGAUGGCAAAGAGCUGCCAGAGUGGAGAAGAUGAUGAUGAAGAGGAAGAGGAAAAAGAGAAAACAUUUGAGGAAAAAGAAAUGGAAAAGCAAAAAACACUGUAUCAACAAUCUCGGCUUCAUGAACGUGGAGCUGCUGAGAUGGUACUACAGAUGAUUAGUGCCAGUAAAGGUGAAAUGGGGCCAAUGGUAGUUGAAACCUUAAAACUUGGCAUUGCUGUUCUAAAUGGAGGUAACUCAGUUGUUCAACAGAAAAUGUUGGAUUAUCUGAAGGAGAAAAAAGAUGCUGGAUUUUUUCAGUCUCUGUCUGGCUUAAUGCAGUCUUGCAGUGUUCUUGACUUGAAUGCCUUUGAGAGACAAAAUAAAGCAGAAGGCCUUGGGAUGGUUACUGAAGAAGGAACACUCAUCGUACGUGAGCGUGGUGAGAAAGUACUACAGAAUGAUGAGUUUACUAAAGAUCUGUUUAGAUUUUUACAACUGCUGUGUGAAGGCCAUAACAAUGAUUUUCAGAAUUAUUUACGUACUCAGAUGGGCAAUACUACAACAGUGAAUAUUAUUAUUAGCACAGUUGACUAUCUAUUACGUCUUCAGGAAUCCAUUAGUGACUUCUAUUGGUACUACUCUGGAAAAGAUGUAAUUGAUGAUUCUGGACAACGUAACUUCUCUAAAGCAUUAGCUGUCACCAAGCAGAUUUUUAAUUCACUUACUGAAUAUAUUCAAGGUCCUUGUAUUGGAAACCAACAGAGCCUGGCUCACAGCAGAUUGUGGGAUGCAGUUGUUGGCUUUCUUCAUGUUUUUGCUAACAUGCAAAUGAAACUUUCUCAGGAUUCCAGCCAAAUUGAACUGCUGAAGGAGCUAUUGGAUCUUCUGAAGGAUAUGGUGGUGAUGCUGUUGUCACUACUUGAAGGUAAUGUCGUAAAUGGCACAAUUGGGAAACAGAUGGUGGACACUCUGGUCGAGUCAUCUAGCAAUGUAGAAAUGAUCUUGAAGUUCUUCGACAUGUUUCUCAAGCUGAAAGAUCUAACAAGUUCUGAAGCAUUCAAAGAGUAUGAUCCAGAAGGCAAAGGUGUAAUCUCAAAGAAGGAAUUCCAGAAAGCCAUGGAAGGUCAAAAGCAAUAUACACAAUCAGAGAUUGAGUUCCUGUUGUCCUGUGCAGAAACAGAUGAAAAUGACAUGUUUAAUUAUGCUGACUUUGUUGAAAGAUUUCAUGAGCCAGCCAAAGAUAUUGGAUUUAAUGUGGCAGUACUCUUAACAAACCUUUCAGAACAUAUGCCAAAUGAUUCACGGCUUCAGACUUUGUUAGAUCCAGCAGGAAGUGUUCUUAAUUAUUUUGAACCUUACCUGGGACGCAUUGAAAUCAUGGGAGGUGCCAAGAAGAUAGAGCGGGUUUAUUUUGAGAUCAGUGAAUCUAGUAGGACACAGUGGGAAAAGCCUCAAGUUAAAGAAUCGAAGCGUCAGUUUAUUUUUGAUGUUGUAAACGAAGGUGGAGAACAAGAAAAAAUGGAACUUUUUGUAAACUUUUGCGAAGACACUAUUUUUGAAAUGCAGUUGGCAUCUCAGAUCUCUGAAUCGGACACAACUGACAGACCUGAGGAGGAGGAGGAGGAUGAACAUUGCUAUGUGAGGGAAGUUGGAGAAGAUGAGAAAGAAGAGCAAUCUCUUGAAUCAGCUUCAGCUUUUGCUUUAGCAUGUGCUACAGCAAAGAAAAAUGCUACCACCAUUAUUAAAACAAUUAGACUGAAAAAUCUAAGAAAACAGUAUAGAAAAGUGAAAAAGAUGACUUUAAAAGAAUUGGUGAAAGUGUUUUUUUCUUUUCUGUGGAUGCUAUUCAUAGGGUUCUUCCAAAUGCUUUUCGCCAUAAUAUGGGGUAUUUUCCAGAUUCUUUGGAGCACUGUGUUUGGGGGUGGCCUAGUGGAAGGAGCCAAAAAUAUAAGAGUUACCAAAAUUUUAGGAGAUAUGCCUGAUCCAACCCAGUUUGGAAUCCACGAUGAUGUCCUAGAAUCAGAGAAAGCUGAAGUUACAGAACAUGGUAUUACGGCUGAAAUUGUUCAAUUUGUAAAAAAUGAAAAAGAAGAAAGUGACAUCUUGUCUGAUAUUUUUGGCAUUCAUACGAAUAAAGAAAGUGGAUCAAAACAUGGCCAUGACAUUGGCCUUGGGGAUAUUGCAGAUAUUAUUGGAUCCGAAACGCCUCCUUCUUUGGAAAGUGCAGUUCACAAGAAGAAAAAAGCACAGACAGGUGAAAUCGGAAGGGAUGAUGAAUCAGAAACAAGAACAGAAUCUGAGAAGGCUGACAUUGAGAAUGGUGAGAAACAAGAUAAAAUAAAGGAUGACGAAUACUCUGAACAUUUGGAAAUUGACGAAUCCAAGAAAAGAAAACGAAGACGUGGGCAAAAAAUAGAGAAGCCUGAUGCAGUUAUGGCUAAUUUUUUUAAAGUGCUGGAAGUGUAUCAGACAAAAAUGUUGCACUGUUUGGCCAGAAAUUUCUACAAUUUACGAUUUCUUGCACUUUUUGUUGCAUUUGCCAUCAACUUUAUUCUACUGUUCUACAAGGUGACAGAGGAGCCAUUUGAAGAGAUGGAAGAAGAUUCUGAUCUUUGGCAUGCUUUAGAUGAGGAUGAAGAUGAAGAUGGAGUGGUGUUCUAUGUCUUACAAGAGAGUACAGGCUAUAUGGCACCAACACUGAGAGCUCUAGCUGUUAUUCACACGAUCAUCUCUUUUGUAUGUGUUAUUGGAUAUUAUUGUUUAAAGGUUCCCCUUGUUGUUUUCAAACGAGAGAAGGACAUUGCAAGGAAACUAGAAUUUGAUGGUUUGUACAUUACUGAACAGCCCUCUGAAGAUGAUAUUAAAGGACAGUGGGAUCGGCUAGUCAUAAACACUCCGUCUUUUCCAAAUAAUUAUUGGGACAAAUUUGUAAAACGAAAGGUAAUCAACAAGUAUGGUGAUUUAUAUGGAGCAGAACGCAUUGCAGAACUUUUGGGUCUGGAUAAAAACGCUUUGGAUUUCAGUCCUGUAGAACAUACUGAACUAGAGGAAGCAUCUCUUAUUUCAUGGUUAAGUUCUGUUGAUGCCAAGUAUCGUAUCUGGAAACUUGGUGUAGUUUUCACUGAUAAUUCCUUCUUGUACUUAGCGUGGUACACAACUAUGUCUAUCCUUGGUCACUACAACAACUUCUUCUUUGCUGCUCACUUGCUUGAUAUUGCUAUGGGCUUUAAGACACUACGUACCAUCCUGUCUUCUGUAACCCACAAUGGUAAACAGCUCGUGUUGACUGUUGGACUCUUGGCUGUAGUGGUGUACCUAUAUACAGUUGUUGCAUUCAACUUCUUCCGCAAAUUUUAUAACAAGAGUGAAGAUGAAGAUGAGCCAGACAUGAAAUGCGAUGAUAUGAUGACAUGUUACCUGUUCCAUAUGUAUGUGGGUGUAAGAGCAGGCGGAGGCAUCGGAGAUGAAAUUGAAGACCCUGCAGGAGAUCCAUACGAAAUGUAUAGAAUUGUUUUUGAUAUCACAUUUUUCUUUUUUGUUAUUGUCAUCCUACUGGCCAUCAUUCAAGAACUGAAGGAGAGCAACUUGGAUGCAUCAAGUGUACAUGAUGGAAAGAGUGAGGUUCCUAAUUUAUAUGAUUUCACAAAUAACCACUCAACGAAUCAGUUACAGGUCUGAUUAUUGAUGCCUUUGGCGAAUUAAGAGACCAGCAAGAGCAAGUUAAAGAAGACAUGGAGACCAAAUGCUUUAUUUGUGGAAUUGGUAAUGACUAUUUUGACACAACUCCCCAUGGAUUUGAAAUGCAUACUUUACAAGAGCACAAC
RNA transcript from Anolis carolinensis (green anole), 22880 nucleotides. It is a transcript of the gene named ryanodine receptor 3, with no coding region annotated. The record is from RefSeq and is a predicted model, not a curated record. The transcript has 105 exons. Lineage: Eukaryota; Metazoa; Chordata; Lepidosauria; Squamata; Anolidae.